GUUCUUGUAGUUGAGUACAACGGUGGUUUUUCAAGUCGCAGGCCCUGGUUAAAAUCCUGGCAAGAAUU
This 68-nucleotide transfer RNA is filed under the name Oryzias curvinotus. RNAcentral's name for it is "tRNA-Glu". It matches the Rfam family "tRNA". From Rfam's summary of the family: Transfer RNA (tRNA) molecules are approximately 80 nucleotides in length. Their secondary structure includes four short double-helical elements and three loops (D, anti-codon, and T loops). Lineage: Eukaryota; Metazoa; Chordata; Actinopteri; Beloniformes; Adrianichthyidae. The record is from RNAcentral.